CGAUAACGAACGAGACUCUGGCCUAUUAAACUUGACGCUGUCAGUCUCUUGUGACUGCGGCGCGCUUCUUAGAGGGAUCAUCGGCGUCCCAGCCGAAGGAAAGGGAGCAAUAACAGGUCUGUGAUGCCCUUAGAUGUUCUGGGCUGCACGCGUGUUACACUGAAGUGGUCAGCGCGCCGUUCAACACCCCUCUCCGUGAGGAGCUUGGGCAAACGUUUGAACCCUUUUCGUGAUGGGAAUUGGGGGUUGCAAUUGUCCCCCAUGAACGAGGAAUUCCAAGUAAGCGCAGGUCACUAGCCUGCGUUGAUUAAGUCCCUGCCCUUUGUACACACCGCCCGUCGCUACUACCGAUGGAUGAUUUGGUGAGGUCGCCUAGACUGGCUGCUGGCUUCGGCCGUGCGGCCGGGAAGACGCCCAAACUUGGUCGUCUAGAGGAAGUAAAAGUCGUAACAAGGUUUCCGUAGGU
Molecule: ribosomal RNA, 466 nt
Filed under: Semibalanus balanoides (northern acorn barnacle)
Lineage: Eukaryota; Metazoa; Arthropoda; Thecostraca; Balanomorpha; Balanidae
Description: SSU rRNA
Rfam family: Eukaryotic small subunit ribosomal RNA
Source: RNAcentral